RNAcentral lists this long non-coding RNA (425 nucleotides) under Lathyrus oleraceus (garden pea). RNAcentral describes it as "Pisum sativum (pea) long non-coding RNA (PSAT_LNC025016)". Lineage: Eukaryota; Viridiplantae; Streptophyta; Magnoliopsida; Fabales; Fabaceae. The record is from RNAcentral.
CUGAGAAACUAAAAACCAAAGAAGGAGUGAAGAAGAAAGGGAAAAAACCAGCAGAAUAUGAUGUUUAUAGGGACCCUUCGUAUCAUGAGUAUGUAGUGGCCAGGGUAGAUGGACCGAUCACAGCGAUAACACUCUAAUGGUAACUAAUCCAAUCAACAUCAAUAUCCGUCGCCAUCAUACAAUCAAGAGGUGGGGAUGAAACAUACUGCCUAUACCCGAACUGACGUAAACAUCUAUCAGGCAAGUAUGGAACAACUGUUUCACCCCACUUCAAACAGCCCCUGUAGAGACAUAUCUCAUCAAAUAGACGCCAUACUCUAUGAUCCUCAAAUGGACGCCAUAUGACGUCGGCAUGUGUCAGCUCGUCCAAAAUAGGUCGUAAAUCAUCAACCUUCAGGACUCCUUGCCUAUACGACCAUCUCAUC